RNAcentral lists this ribosomal RNA (85 nucleotides) under Sus scrofa (pig). The record is from RNAcentral. Lineage: Eukaryota; Metazoa; Chordata; Mammalia; Artiodactyla; Suidae.
CCACCCUAAAUGCCCCAGAUCUCAUCAGAUGUUGGAAGCUAAGCAGGUUUGGACCUGGUUAGUACUUGGAUGGGAGAAACAAGGG